UAGAGUUUGAUCCUGGCUCAGGAUGAACGCUAGCGGCAGGCUUAACACAUGCAAGUCGAGGGGUAACAGGGAAUAGUUUACUAUUUUGCUGACGACCGGCGCACGGGUGAGUAACGCGUAUACAAUUUGCCUUUUACAGGAGGAUAGCCCAGAGAAAUUUGGAUUAAUACUCCAUGGUAUUACGAGAUCGCAUGGUUUUGUAAUUAAAGUUUCGGCGGUAGAAGAUGAGUAUGCGUCCUAUUAGCUAGUUGGUAAGGUAACGGCUUACCAAGGCGACGAUAGGUAGGGGUCCUGAGAGGGAGAUCCCCCACACUGGUACUGAGACACGGACCAGACUCCUACGGGAGGCAGCAGUGAGGAAUAUUGGUCAAUGGAGGCAACUCUGAACCAGCCAUGCCGCGUGCAGGAAGACUGCCCUAUGGGUUGUAAACUGCUUUUAUACAGGAAGAAACUUACCCACGUGUGGGUAACUGACGGUACUGUACGAAUAAGGACCGGCUAACUCCGUGCCAGCAGCCGCGGUAAUACGGAGGGUC
Molecule: ribosomal RNA, 536 nt
Filed under: uncultured bacterium
Lineage: Bacteria
Description: bacterial SSU rRNA
Rfam family: Bacterial small subunit ribosomal RNA
Source: RNAcentral